ACCGAGUUGAAUGUCCGGACCAAA
This 24-nucleotide non-coding RNA is filed under the name Arabidopsis thaliana (thale cress). Lineage: Eukaryota; Viridiplantae; Streptophyta; Magnoliopsida; Brassicales; Brassicaceae. The record is from RNAcentral.